Molecule: ribosomal RNA, 293 nt
Filed under: uncultured bacterium
Lineage: Bacteria
Description: partial 16S ribosomal RNA
Rfam family: Bacterial small subunit ribosomal RNA
Source: RNAcentral
UACCCCCUACGGGACGCAGCAGUAGGGAAUCUUCCACAAUGGGCGAAAGCCUGAUGGAGCAACGCCGCGUGGGUGAAGAAGGUCUUCGGAUCGUAAAACCCUGUUGUUAGAGAAGAAAGUGCGUGAGAGUAACUGUUCACGUUUCGACGGUAUCUAACCAGAAGGCCACGGCUAACUACGUGCCAGCAGCCGCGGUAAUACGUAGGUGGCAAGCGUUAUCCGGAUUUAUUGGGCGUAAAGGGAACGCAGGCGGUCUUUUAAGUCUGAUGUGAAAGCCUUCGGCUUGACCGGAG